Molecule: ribosomal RNA, 440 nt
Filed under: uncultured bacterium
Lineage: Bacteria
Description: partial 16S ribosomal RNA
Rfam family: Bacterial small subunit ribosomal RNA
Source: RNAcentral
CCUACGGGAGGCAGCAGUGGGGAAUAUUGCACAAUGGGGGAAACCCUGAUGCAGCGACGCCGCGUGAGUGAAGAAGUAUUUCGGUACGUAAAGCUCUAUCAGCAGGGAAGAAAAUGACGGUACCUGACUAAGAAGCCCCGGCUAACUACGUGCCAGCAGCCGCGGUAAUACGUAGGGGGCAAGCGUUAUCCGGAUUUACUGGGUGUAAAGGGAGCGUAGACGGCAGCGCAGGUCUGGAGUGAAAUCCCAUGGCUUAACCAUGGAACUGCUUUGGAAACUGUGCAGCUAGAGUGCAGGAGAGGUAAGCGGAAUGCCUAGUGUAGCGGUGAAAUGCGUAGAUAUUAGGAGGAACACCAGUGGCGAAGGCGGCUUACUGGACUGUAACUGACGUUGAGGCUCGAAAGCGUGGGGAGCAAACAGGAUUAGAUACCCCGGUAGUC